GGAGGACACAUUCAGUAAUUUAACAGUUGGCAACUAGAGAGAUCUGACUAAAGUUCAAGAAGAUUCCAACUUUAUGCAAAUGAUCAGCGAUGUGACCGCUCAAUAGCCCAUUGGAGAAUGGAGGGUCUCGCUAGAUAGCUUUGACACCGCGCUGGAUAGGCCAACAACCAACAUGUUGUUUUACAUGCUGUUCAGAAGAUAAACCGCUGAAGGGAGGUUUUGGCAACAAGCUGAAGGUAGUGAGUAGUGUGAGUGUCCUGUUAUGUCACUGCUCUGAAGUAUGGCAUUGACAAGAUAUAAUUGUCAACAUUAAACUAUACUUAUGUGAUAGAUAAUGUACCUUUAACGUUAUAAAAAGUUGAUAUUUAUUGGAUAUAAUGAAAAUAUCAUGUUAUAAACUUCAGUUUAUAAUCAAUAAGUUAGUCCUGUUGACCAUUCAAUUCAAUUAUUUUAAAAUGACUAACACAUUUAUUGUGAUGUUAAAGGAGUAUCUCAGGAAUAGCUAACAUCCACAGACUUUACAAUUGGCUACAAAUUGUAUUUCUGUAAGCAGGAGGAGGCUGAGAAAGUUUCUGGAUCUUCUAGACCACUAUCACUGUUAAAUGUGGAUCUCAAAAUCCUUUAAAACUGCAGCUAGAUUGUAAACUGCUUGUAAAUGCUGACCAAACAAGGUUUAUCCAAUAGAGGAAAGGACCAGAAAAAUACAUGUGAAUUUUUUCAUAGAAUUGAAGCAUCUACGAAUGAAAAUAUAUCUGUUUGUUUGAAUGUAGUUGUUGUAAAUCAUGGACAAAUUGCAUUUUAUAUUUAAAAAAUAAUUUCAAUAAGUGACACUGUCAUGAUGUUGGCCUGUGGGUAAGGUUUAUGACCCCCCCCCCCCAUAAAUACCUUACUCCCUUCCCCUCUCUGAAUCUACUGAAGGACUUGAAUAGCCUGUGUUAAAUAUAGAGAGUCUGGGAACGUCAAACAAAUGGGGAAAGGUACCACAUAUUUUGUUAAUAAAACCAGUUGGAAAUAUGCUUGGGAACGUAAUGAGUAUGUAUGUCAGUUCGGUUGUCAUCUGAGACAUUAUGACUGAUGACAGGACGACAUAAACUGUAUCUGAGAAAGUAUACGCCCUCUAGUUAUCAG
This 1128-nucleotide long non-coding RNA is filed under the name Salmo salar (Atlantic salmon). Its description in RNAcentral is "lncRNA (ENSSSAG00000108498.1)". Lineage: Eukaryota; Metazoa; Chordata; Actinopteri; Salmoniformes; Salmonidae. The record is from RNAcentral.